GCGCCGAUGGCAGAGUGGCUUAUGCAGCGGUCUGCAAAACCGCGUACGGGGGUUCGAUUCCCUCUCGGCGCU
RNAcentral lists this transfer RNA (72 nucleotides) under Methanobacteriota archaeon. RNAcentral describes it as "Euryarchaeota archaeon tRNA-Cys". It matches the Rfam family "tRNA". Rfam says of the family: Transfer RNA (tRNA) molecules are approximately 80 nucleotides in length. Their secondary structure includes four short double-helical elements and three loops (D, anti-codon, and T loops). Lineage: Archaea; Methanobacteriati; Methanobacteriota. The record is from RNAcentral.